CCUACGGGAGGCAGCAGUGGGGAAUUUUGGACAAUGGGCGAAAGCCUGAUCCAGCCAUGCCGCGUGAGUGAAGAAGGCCUUCGGGUUGUAAAGCUCUUUUAGUCGGAAAGAAAGAGUUGCAAUGAAUAAUUGUGAUUUAUGACGGUACCGACAGAAAAAGCACCGGCUAACUACGUGCCAGCAGCCGCGGUAAUACGUAGGGUGCGGGCGUUAAUCGGAAUUACUGGGCGUAAAGGGUGCGCAGGCGGUCUUGCAAGUCAGAUGUGAAAGCCCCGGGCUUAACCUGGGAAUUGCGUUUGAAACUACAAGGCUAGAGUGCAGCAGAGGGGAGUGGAAUUCCAUGUGUAGCAGUGAAAUGCGUAGAGAUGUGGAAGAACACCGAUGGCGAAGGCAGCUCCCUGGGUUGACACUGACGCUCAUGCACGAAAGCGUGGGGAGCAAACAGGAUUAGAUACCCUGGUAGUCCACGCCCUAAACGAUGUCAACUAGUUGUCGGAUCUAAUUAAGGAUUUGGUAACGUAGCUAACGCGUGAAGUUGACCGCACUGGGGAGUACGGUCGCAAGAUAAAACUCAAAGGAA
RNAcentral lists this ribosomal RNA (580 nucleotides) under uncultured Nitrosomonas sp. RNAcentral's name for it is "bacterial SSU rRNA". It matches the Rfam family "Bacterial small subunit ribosomal RNA", at positions 338 to 909 of the family's 1533-position model. Lineage: Bacteria; Pseudomonadati; Pseudomonadota; Betaproteobacteria; Nitrosomonadales; Nitrosomonadaceae. The record is from RNAcentral.